GGGGAUGUAGUACAGUUGGUAGAAUACUUGCUUACCAUGCAUGGAGCCCUGGGUUUAAUUCCCAGCACCA
This is a transfer RNA of Neotoma lepida (desert woodrat), 70 nucleotides long. It matches the Rfam family "tRNA". Rfam says of the family: Transfer RNA (tRNA) molecules are approximately 80 nucleotides in length. Their secondary structure includes four short double-helical elements and three loops (D, anti-codon, and T loops). Further hydrogen bonds mediate the characteristic L-shaped molecular structure. tRNAs have two regions of fundamental functional importance: the anti-codon, which is responsible for specific mRNA codon recognition, and the 3' end, to which the tRNAs corresponding amino acid is attached (by aminoacyl-tRNA synthetases). tRNAs cope with the degeneracy of the genetic code in two manners: having more than one tRNA (with a specific anti-codon) for a particular amino acid; and 'wobble' base-pairing, i.e. permitting non-standard base-pairing at the 3rd anti-codon position. The record is from Rfam. NCBI's taxonomy places the organism in Eukaryota, Metazoa, Chordata, Mammalia, Rodentia, Cricetidae.